RNAcentral lists this ribosomal RNA (465 nucleotides) under uncultured bacterium. Its description in RNAcentral is "partial 16S ribosomal RNA". It matches the Rfam family "Bacterial small subunit ribosomal RNA", at positions 28 to 507 of the family's 1533-position model. The record is from RNAcentral.
GACGAACGCUGGCGGCGUGCUUAACACAUGCAAGUCGAACGGAAAGGCCCUGCUUGCAGGGUACUCGAGUGGCGAACGGGUGAGUAACACGUGGGUGAUCUGCCCUGCACUUCGGGAUAAGCCUGGGAAACUGGGUCUAAUACCGGAUAGGAGCCAUUUUUAGUGUGAUGGUUGGAAAGUUUUUUCGGUGUAGGAUGAGCUCGCGGCCUAUCAGCUUGUUGGUGGGGUAAUGGCCUACCAAGGCGGCGACGGGUAGCCGGCCUGAGAGGGUGGACGGCGACAUUGGGACUGAGAUACGGCCCAGACUCCUACGGGAGGCAGCAGUGGGGAAUAUUGAACAAUGGGCGCAAGCCUGAUGCAGCGACGCCGCGUGGGGGAUGACGGCCUUCGGGUUGUAAACUCCUUUCGCUAGGGACGAAGCUUUUUGUGACGGUACCUAGAUAAGAAGCACCGGCUAACUACGUG